RNAcentral lists this ribosomal RNA (254 nucleotides) under uncultured bacterium. Its description in RNAcentral is "partial 16S ribosomal RNA". It matches the Rfam family "Bacterial small subunit ribosomal RNA", at positions 524 to 776 of the family's 1533-position model. The record is from RNAcentral.
GACGUAGGGGCCAAGCGUUGUCCGGAUUUAUUGGGCGUAAAGGGCUCGUAGGCGGUUAAGUAAGUCGGAUGUGAAAACUCAGGGCUCAACCCUGAGACGCCAUCCGAUACUGCUUUGACUUGAGUCUGGUAGAGGAGUGUGGAAUUCCUGGUGUAGCGGUGAAAUGCGCAGAUAUCAGGAGGAACACCUGUAGCGAAGGCGGCACUCUGGGCCAGUACUGACGCUGAGGAGCGAAAGCAUGGGUAGCAAACAGG